RNAcentral lists this ribosomal RNA (253 nucleotides) under uncultured bacterium. RNAcentral describes it as "partial 16S ribosomal RNA". It matches the Rfam family "Bacterial small subunit ribosomal RNA", at positions 524 to 776 of the family's 1533-position model. The record is from RNAcentral.
UACGGAGGGUGCAAGCGUUAAUCGGAAUUACUGGGCGUAAAGCGCGCGUAGGCGGUUAAGUCAGUCAGAUGUGAAAGCCCCGGGCUCAACCUGGGAACUGCAUUUGAUACUGCUUAACUAGAGUGUGGUAGAGGAGAGUGGAAUUUCAGGUGUAGCGGUGAAAUGCGUAGAGAUCUGAAGGAACAUCAGUGGCGAAGGCGACUCUCUGGACCAACACUGACGCUGAGGUGCGAAAGCGUGGGUAGCAAACGGG